UUUCCGUAGGUGAACCUGCGGAAGGAUCAUUACUGCAUCACCGAGGGAGGAGGGCUUGUGCUGACCCGAAAGGGCGUGCACGCGCGAGUGCGCUGGGACACAUCCAGCACACCCCUGUCAGGACCACCGCGCGGGUCCCGGUAUUGAUUGUGAGGAGGGGGGCUUACGCGUUCACACAAAGUAUGUAUGCAGUGUAGAAUGUAGUUUUUGUUUAUGCGAUCACGUAAUUAAUACAACUUGCAACAACGGAAAUCUGGGCUCAGGCAUGGAUGAAGAACG
This 279-nucleotide unclassified non-coding RNA is filed under the name plant metagenome. RNAcentral describes it as "partial contains small subunit ribosomal RNA, internal transcribed spacer 1, and 5.8S ribosomal RNA". The record is from RNAcentral.